CAACUUUCAACAACGGAUCUCUUGGCUCUCGCAUCGAUGAAGAACGCAGCGAAAUGCGAUACGUAAUGUGAAUUGCAGAAUUCAGUGAAUCAUCGAAUCUUUGAACGCACCUUGCGCCCCUUGGCAUUCCGAGGGGCACACCCGUUUGAGUGUCGA
RNAcentral lists this ribosomal RNA (156 nucleotides) under Russula subsulphurea. Its description in RNAcentral is "5.8S ribosomal RNA". It matches the Rfam family "5.8S ribosomal RNA". Rfam says of the family: 5.8S ribosomal RNA (5.8S rRNA) is a component of the large subunit of the eukaryotic ribosome. It is transcribed by RNA polymerase I as part of the 45S precursor that also contains 18S and 28S rRNA. Functionally, it is thought that 5.8S rRNA may be involved in ribosome translocation. Lineage: Eukaryota; Fungi; Basidiomycota; Agaricomycetes; Russulales; Russulaceae. The record is from RNAcentral.